Molecule: transfer RNA, 75 nt
Filed under: Saccharomyces cerevisiae CLIB324
Lineage: Eukaryota; Fungi; Ascomycota; Saccharomycetes; Saccharomycetales; Saccharomycetaceae
Description: tRNA-Tyr (GTA) (tRNA-Tyr-GTA-2-1)
Rfam family: tRNA
About the family: Transfer RNA (tRNA) molecules are approximately 80 nucleotides in length. Their secondary structure includes four short double-helical elements and three loops (D, anti-codon, and T loops).
Source: RNAcentral
CUCUCGGUAGCCAAGUUGGUUUAAGGCGCAAGACUGUAAAUCUUGAGAUCGGGCGUUCGGCUCGCCCCCGGGAGA